Molecule: ribosomal RNA, 468 nt
Filed under: uncultured bacterium
Lineage: Bacteria
Description: partial 16S ribosomal RNA
Rfam family: Bacterial small subunit ribosomal RNA
Source: RNAcentral
GACGAACGCUGGCGGCGUGCUUAACACAUGCAAGUCGAACGGAAAGGCCCUGCUUUUGUGGGGUGCUCGAGUGGCGAACGGGAGAGUAACACGUGAGUAACCUGCCCUUGACUUUGGGAUAACUUCAGGAAACUGGGGCUAAUACCGGAUAGGAGCUCCUGCUGCAUGGUGGGGGUUGGAAAGCUUCGGCGGUUGGGGUUGGACUCCCGGCUUUUCGGCUUGUUGGUGGGGUAGUGGCUUACUAAGGCUUUGACGGGUAGCCGGCCUGAGAGGGUGACCGGCCACGUUGGGACUGAGAGACGGCCCAGACUGCUACGGGAGGCAACAGUGGGGAAUAUUGCGCAAUGGGCGGAAGCCUGAUGCAGCAACGCCGCGUGCGGGAUGACGGCCUACGGGUUGUAAACCGCUGUCGCCUGGGACGAGGCGUGAGUGACGGUAAUGAGUAAAGAAGCACCGGCUAACUACGUG